This 371-nucleotide ribosomal RNA is filed under the name uncultured organism. Its description in RNAcentral is "bacterial SSU rRNA". It matches the Rfam family "Bacterial small subunit ribosomal RNA", at positions 526 to 896 of the family's 1533-position model. The record is from RNAcentral.
CGAAGGGGGCUAGCGUUGUUCGGAGUUACUGGGCGUAAAGGGCGCGUAGGCGGCCCUCCAAGUCGGGCGUGAAAGCCCACGGCUCAACCGUGGAAUUGCGCUCGAGACUGAAGGGCUCGAGGACGGGAGAGGAUGGUGGAAUUCCCAGUGUAGAGGUGAAAUUCGUAGAUAUUGGGAAGAACACCGGUGGCGAAGGCGGCCAUCUGGACCGUAUCUGACGCUGAGGCGCGAAAGCGUGGGGAGCAAACAGGAUUAGAUACCCUGGUAGUCCACGUCGUAAACGAUGAGUGCUAGACGUUGGGGAACCUAGUUCUUCGGUGUCGCAGCUAACGCAUUAAGCACUCCGCCUGGGGAGUACGGCCGCAAGGUUA